This 197-nucleotide unclassified non-coding RNA is filed under the name soil metagenome. Its description in RNAcentral is "partial contains 5.8S ribosomal RNA, internal transcribed spacer 2, and large subunit ribosomal RNA". The record is from RNAcentral.
AAGACUAUAGACCUGCGGAGUACCUGCGGAGGGAUCAUUCACAAUAAGUGUUUUAUGGCACUUUAAUUCCAUAUCCACCUUGUGUGCAACGUAGUUCGUUUUUCGAACAAAACAUCAACAUUUUAAUUAUCAACAGAUCGUCUGAAGUAUUAUAUGAAUAAAUCAAUUCAAAAUACAACUUUCAGCAAUGGAUCUCU